This 1044-nucleotide ribosomal RNA is filed under the name Ascitendus sp. 'triseptatus'. RNAcentral's name for it is "eukaryotic LSU rRNA". It matches the Rfam family "Eukaryotic large subunit ribosomal RNA", at positions 43 to 1122 of the family's 3401-position model. The record is from RNAcentral. Lineage: Eukaryota; Fungi; Ascomycota; Sordariomycetes; Annulatascales; Annulatascaceae.
UUUUUGAACCUGUAGAGAACCCCAGGGAUUGCCCUAGUAACGGCGAGUGAAGCGGCAACAGCUCAAAUUUGAAAUCUGGCCUCGGCCCGUUUUGUAAUUUGUAGAGGAUGCUUUUGGCGCGGCGCCUUCUGAGUUCCCUGGAACGGGACGCCAGAGAGGGUGAGAGCCCCGUACGGUUGGACGCCAAGCCUCUGUAAAGCUCCUUCGACGAGUCGAGUAGUUUGGGAAUGCUGCUCAAAAUGGGAGGUAAAUGCCUUCUAAAGCUAAAUACUGGCCAGAGACCGAUAGCGCACAAGUAGAGUGAUCGAAAGAUGAAAAGCACUUUGAAAAGAGGGUUAAAUAGCACGUGAAAUUGUUGAAAGGGAAGCGCUCAUGACCAGACGUGUGCCUCGUGAAUCAUCCGGCGUUCUCGCCGGUGCACUUCGCCUGGCACAGGCCAGCAUCGGUUUUCCCAGGGGGAUAAAAGCCGAGGGAACGUAGCUCUUCCGGGAGUGUUAUAGCCCGUGGCACAAUGCCCUUGGGGGGACCGAGGCCCGCGCUCCGCAAGGAUGCUGGCAUAAUGGUCAUCAGCGACCCGUCUUGAAACACGGACCAAGGAGUCAAGCAUUAGGGCGAGUGUUUGGGUGUCAAACCCGCACGCGAAAUGAAAGUGAACGCAGGUGAGAGCUUCGGCGCAUCAUCGACCCGAUCCUGAUGUAUUCGGAUGGAUUUGAGUAAAAGCCUUACCGCUUGGACCCGAAAGAUGGUGAACUAUGCCUGGAUAGGGUGAACCCAGAGGAAACUCUUGGUGGAGCUCGCAGCGGUCUGACGUGCAAAUCGAUCGUCAAAUCUGGGCAUGGGGGCGAAAGACUAAUCGACCAUUUAUUACUGGUACCCGCCGAAGUUUCCUCAGGAUAGCAGUGUGGUUCAGUUUUUGAGUAACAAUGAUAGGACUCGGGGCCUAUUUGCCUUAUCCUUCUCAACUUUAAUUGUAGAAACCUUGUCUUAUUAACUGGCUUCAAGUUUACCUUGGCAUUUUGUAACAAACUGCAUGCGAUAACCACG